UAGCUCAGUAUGACAUUGUGUAACCUGGAAUAGAGACUACGUAGGUUUGUUUGGUAUCUCAGUAUUACAUUGUGUAACCUGGAAUAGAGACUACGUAGGUUUGUUUGGUAUCUCAGUAUUACAUUGGGUAACCUGGAAUAAAGACUACGUAGGUUUGUUUGGUAUCUCAGUAUUACAUUGUGUAACCUGGAAUAGAGACUACGUAGGUUUGUUUGGUAUCUCAGUAUUACAUUGGGUAACCUGGAAUUGAGACAAC
Molecule: long non-coding RNA, 256 nt
Filed under: Mizuhopecten yessoensis (Yesso scallop)
Lineage: Eukaryota; Metazoa; Mollusca; Bivalvia; Pectinida; Pectinidae
Description: uncharacterized LOC110448207, transcript variant X2
Source: RNAcentral